RNAcentral lists this ribosomal RNA (795 nucleotides) under uncultured bacterium. Its description in RNAcentral is "bacterial SSU rRNA". It matches the Rfam family "Bacterial small subunit ribosomal RNA", at positions 128 to 960 of the family's 1533-position model. The record is from RNAcentral.
GCCCUUCACUACGGAAUAGCCUCGGGAAACUGAGAGUAAUACCGUAUACGCCCUUUGGGGAAAGAUUUAUCGGUGAAGGAUUAGCCCGCGUCUGAUUAGAUAGUUGGUGGGGUAGCGGCCUACCAAGUCGACGAUCAGUAGCUGGUUUGAGAGGAUGAUCAGCAACACUGGGACUGAGACACGGCCCAGACUCCUACGGGAGGCAGCAGUGGGGAAUCUUAGACAAUGGGGGAAACCCUGAUCUAGCCAUGCCGCGUGAGUGACGAAGGCCCUAGGGUCGUAAAGCUCUUUCGCCAGGGAUGAUAAUGACAGUACCUGGUAAAGAAACCCCGGCUAACUCCGUGCCAGCAGCCGCGGUAAUACGGAGGGGGUUAGCGUUGUUCGGAAUUACUGGGCGUAAAGCGCGCGUAGGGGGAUUAGUCAGUCAGAGGUGAAAUCCCAGGGCUCAACCCUGGAACUGCCUUUGAUACUGCUAGUCUUGAGUUCGAGAGAGGUGAGUGGAAUUCCGAGUGUAGAGGUGAAAUUCGUAGAUAUUCGGAGGAACACCAGUGGCGAAGGGGCUCACUGGCUCGAUACUGACGCUGAGGUGCGAAAGUGUGGGGAGCAAACAGGAUUAGAUACCCUGGUAGUCCACACCGUAAACGAUGAAUGCCAGACGUCGGGGGGCAUGCCCUUCGGUGUCACACCUAACGGAUUAAGCAUUCCGCCUGGGGAGUACGGUCGCAAGAUUAAAACUCAAAGGAAUUGACGGGGGGCCCGCACAAGCGUGGAGCAUGUGGUUUAAUUCGAAGCAAC